This 329-nucleotide ribosomal RNA is filed under the name uncultured eukaryote. Its description in RNAcentral is "partial 18S ribosomal RNA". It matches the Rfam family "Eukaryotic small subunit ribosomal RNA", at positions 1470 to 1796 of the family's 1831-position model. The record is from RNAcentral.
CCCUUAGAUGUUCUGGGCCACACGCGCGCUACACUGGUACGUUCAACAAGUUUACAACCUUGAUCGAUAGGUCUGGGUAAUCUUUUUAAUGCGUACCGUGCUAGGGAUAGAUUAUUGCAAUUAUUAAUCUUGAACGAGGAAUUCCUAGUAAACGCAAGUCAUCAGCUUGCAUUGAUUACGUCCCUGCCCUUUGUACACACCGCCCGUCGCACCUACUGAUUGAAUGACUCGGUGAAAAAUUGGGACUGUGAGAACAAUCGAUUCAGUUCGAAUGUACUCGUGGAAACUUUUUUUAACCUCGCCAUUUAGAAGAAGGUGAAGUCGUANCA